CACUCCUGCGGGAGGCAGCAGUGGGGAAUAUUGGACAAUGGGCGCAAGCCUGAUCCAGCCAUGCCGCGUGAGUGAUGAAGGCCCUAGGGUUGUAAAGCUCUUUCACCGGUGAAGAUAAUGACGGUAACCGGAGAAGAAGCCCCGGCUAACUUCGUGCCAGCAGCCGCGGUAAUACGAAGGGUGCUAGCGUUGUUCGGAUUUACUGGGCGUAAAGCGCACGUAGGCGGACUAUUAAGUCAGGGGUGAAAUCCCGGGGCUCAACCCCGGAACUGCCUUUGAUACUGGUAGUCUUGAGUUCGAGAGAGGUGAGUGGAAUUCCGAGUGUAGAGGUGAAAUUCGUAGAUAUUCGGAGGAACACCAGUGGCGAAGGCGGCUCACUGGCUCGAUACUGACGCUGAGGUGCGAAAGCGUGGGGAGCAAACAGGAUUAGAAACCCUAGUAGUCCCAU
Molecule: ribosomal RNA, 448 nt
Filed under: uncultured organism
Description: partial 16S ribosomal RNA
Rfam family: Bacterial small subunit ribosomal RNA
Source: RNAcentral